AGCAUAGAUGGUAAGAAAUUUAAGUUGUUCAACACCUGUAAUCAUCCUUAACUGCUUUUGGAAGAAGUAUAACCUCAAUGCCAAAAACAGAACUCGUUCCUAUCUCCUUCAUGACCUGAGUGGGUACAAAGGCAGAGAAAAACCAGUAACUUCCCCAAUCUGAAGAGCCUGGGUUUCUGUGAUUCAAGGUACCACUUCUAAGCCUGGAAACUUACAAAAAGGAUGAAGGCUUUCAGCAACUGAUUUGAUUCUCUUCUAAAUUAAUUAUGCUAAUUUUAAACGAAUGUGUCUUAAGCCCAGAGUGUUCUCCACAAUUCUAGGGCUCACUGAAAACAAAAUUAGCAUCCCUGCAGGUAUCCCUCCCCUCUCAAGGCCAUUUGUCUUGUCACAUCCGCUGCCCCUCUUGGGUUUUUGCAUAGAUAUCUGAAAUCAGCCAACAAGGAAGAUAAAAAUCUUAGCAAUUCAACGGUUGACAUUCUCACUGGAGGCACUUAGAAAAACAGACUCAAGGGCAGCCUAAUCCCUGACAUCACAGGGCACAUCUCUGAGAUGAAAACCUACCCCUCCUCCCCCACAUCCCCUUCAGUGAUCCCUUGAAGCCUCUCCAAUGAUGAAGCCCUAAAGUGCUGACAUGACCUCAAUACUAUGGCAUCAUUUCAGUAAAACGCCAAGGAGAGAGGCUGACACGUUCCUGCCAGCGAACUGUAGGUCAGCAAACACGCCCUUGCCCUGCCCUUUCACAAAGCAGAGAUCAGUCUCUUUCAAAAGUAAAGAUUCCCCACCGCCCCACUCCUAAGAGAACUCUGUAGAAGAGAGGGGAGCGCGCAACCUGAAGAAAGUCACUGCUCAGCACCCUCAGGUACUACCACAAACUAAAGUGAUACUUAGAGCAUCAGGGUGCUCGCAAUUGAUGUAUAUUUGGGGAUCCAAUGCUCCAGAACAUCAUCCCUAUCUCCUAUCUCUCACUCUGUCGUGGACCACGCCAACUCCUCAGCUCAUUCCUUUCCUAUCUUCUGGGAAUAGCCAGAGGUUUUUCACCACGAGCGAGACACGGGGAAUCUGAAUCAACUUCCUUUCCCCAAGUCUCCUGGGCUCUUCCCAGGCAGCAAAAAUCCAAGUUUCCCCAUGCGUCACCUGAAGCCCCAACUUCUGGAAACGCCCCCCUUACCUCGCCUCCGAGAGCUGGCACCGCGGCAAGAGGCGGGCACGCAGCCGCCGGCGCCGCCGCUGCCACUGUCGCCGCCGCAGCCAGGGAGGCGAGGAGUCUCGGGCUGGUCUUCGGCCCCGGAGCCACCGCACCCUAGGCCGUCCGCCCUAACACGAUAACCCGGGCGCCUCGUCUCCGCAGGGAGUGAGCACCCGCGCCCUGGGGGGCGCCCAGGCAGAUCCCGACGCCGGCAAAACGCUCCACACCCGCACCCUGCCGGGGGACGCGUCCAAGCGCACGGCUCGGGUGGAGCGCCCGGGUGGCCGCGGCGGCAGGAGAGGGGCGUGUUCCUUGCGCCGGCGGGACCCGGGAAGGAGGCGAGCCUAGCGCGCAGUCCCCGACGGCGGCUCUCGGCCCUCAAUGCCGGCCAGCUGGCCUGACGACGCGCUGCAGCCCGCGCGCCCUUGCGGGGACAGGCGCCGUGCGCGCCCCACGGGGCUGCCUCCGUGCCGGCCUGGGCGCGCAAACUUUCUGGGCGAAAACCGCUCCAGCCUCUCCGGCGGGGACGCCGCGCUCUCCCCGGGGCCCACCAACUGUUCGCCCCCUCCCCUCCGUAGCCAAGACCCACUGAAAAUAUGGCGCCCUCGAAUGUCGCUCCUCGGUCCCCUCGGGGGAUCUCGAAAUGCCAGGCUCCAGGACCCCUGGCUCCCGGCAGGCGCGAAAUUUCAGCUCCUGAGGCCGAAGUAGGGGAGGGUGCCCCUCGUCCAACGCGAGGCCAGCGGCACUCAAUCCCAAUCCUCCCCUCGCUCCUGGUCCCUCAGCAGCCAGCAGUUUGCUUGCGGCGAGAAUGCCAAGUAAAGGGGAGUCGUGGAAUCAGCAGGUCUGAGAGUCCGGGACUGGGAAAAGAGCUCCGCACCAGCCGGCAGUCUUGCUUGGAGCCUGGCUGGAGACUUGUUUGCAAAGUGGCGCUAGAGUCGGGGCGACCAGUGCUGGAAUGAAGCCGCUCCGCCCGCGCCAACUCUCCCGGCGCGGGGGCCCGGCCGGGGCCGAGGGGACACUGCGUGCAGGCGGGGCCGCUUUUCAAAGCCCAGUUACCGGAAACCUAGCGGGAGCCCCGGAGGGGACCGGCUGCUCACAGCUAGGUAUCUGCUCGCCGGCUACGAGGCUGUUUGCAAACCGCGGCGCCCAGGUCCAGUGCAGUGAAACAUAAUGUGCAAUAGACAGGUGCAUUAAUUUUAUUUUAUUUUUAUUUUCCUGCAAAAAGCCCUCCUAAAACAUCAAACCUGAGAGCUUUAAGGGGUUUUUUCUGCAUUGCUAUCACUCACGAGAUGCAAAAGGAAGGGGUAAACCACCCACAUUUUCCUUCUGUAGAUGGGAGGGAAAAGACACGAGAAAUUCAUGCAACAUGCAUGCAGGUGGAGGAAGAGGAAAACCCGAGUGAGCCGUGCGCCUUACCGGGGAAUGCAUUUACUGUCUCAUUGCAGAGCGCCUGCCCGGGAGUGCAGCCGGCGUCCCCCCGCGCGCCCGGCGACCGCUCUGCUCCCGCAGCCGCCUCAGCCGCUGCCGCCGCCGCUGGCUCCAGGCGCGGA
Molecule: long non-coding RNA, 2736 nt
Filed under: Sus scrofa (pig)
Lineage: Eukaryota; Metazoa; Chordata; Mammalia; Artiodactyla; Suidae
Description: lncRNA (ENSSSCG00055025750.1)
Source: RNAcentral